AUGCCGGGGGACGUCGCGACCUCGCCGGCGACGGCGUCGGGGCCGCCGGCAGCCGCGUCCUCUUCGCACCAUCCCGCCACCUCCGCCCGCAGCGCCCUCUCCAACGCCGUCGCGGGCGCCUCCGCCGGCGUGAUAGCAGCGACCUUCGUGUGCCCGCUCGAUGUGAUCAAGACGAGGUUCCAGGUGCACGGCUGGCCCAAGCUAGCCCCUGGCACAGCUGGAGGUAGUGUCAUCAUUGGGAGCUUAGAACAGAUUGCUAGACGGGAAGGCUUUCGGGGAUUGUAUCGUGGUCUUUCCCCGACUAUUCUGGCGCUUUUGCCUAACUGGGCGGUCUACUUUACUGUAUACGAGCAGCUUAAAAGCAUGCUUGCUUCCAGCGAAGGAAGCCAUCAACUCUCUCUAGGGGCAAAUGUUAUGGCUGCAUCAUGUGCUGGAGCUGCAACUACAAUAGCAACAAAUCCACUUUGGGUUGUCAAGACAAGAUUUCAGACCCAAGGAGUAAGAGCUGGUGCGAGGAUCCCAUACAAAGGCACGGUUGCUGCAUUGACGAGAAUAACACAUGAGGAAGGCAUCCGUGGACUAUACAGUGGACUUGUCCCUGCCUUGGCUGGUAUCACUCAUGUUGCCAUUCAGUUCCCUGUAUACGAGAAGAUAAAAGCUUACCUGGCUGAGCGAGAUAACACUACCGUUGAAGCAUUAAGUUUUGGUGAUGUCGCUGUUGCUUCAUCUCUGGCAAAACUAGCUGCAUCAACCUUAACAUAUCCUCAUGAGGUUGUUCGAUCAAGGUUGCAAGAGCAGGGAGCACACUCCGAGGCGAGAUACAGAGGGGUAAUAGACUGUGUUAGAAAGGUUUAUCAUGCAGAGGGUGUAGCUGGGUUCUACCGUGGAUGCGCCACAAAUCUGUUGCGGACAACUCCUGCUGCAGUUAUAACAUUCACCAGCUUCGAGAUGAUUCACAGGUUCCUUCUCAAUCUAGGCUCUCCUGAACCUGAACAACAUCAUCCCCAUCCGCUGAAGCAUUGA
Molecule: ribosomal RNA, 1023 nt
Filed under: Triticum aestivum (bread wheat)
Lineage: Eukaryota; Viridiplantae; Streptophyta; Magnoliopsida; Poales; Poaceae
Description: partial small subunit ribosomal RNA
Source: RNAcentral